Molecule: non-coding RNA, 369 nt
Organism: Schizosaccharomyces pombe (fission yeast)
Lineage: Eukaryota; Fungi; Ascomycota; Schizosaccharomycetes; Schizosaccharomycetales; Schizosaccharomycetaceae
Source: the annotation of a GenBank genome assembly
AAUAUGAUCACAAGGAAAACUCACUGCGAUCCUACGUAUCGUUAAAACUGAUACCGAAUUUGAGUAGCCAUCAUCAGCUGUCAGCAAUACUACACUACGCUAUGAUAUACUACGUUGCGUAUCACUAUAGAUCAUAUGUUGGAAUACUAGCUAAGAUCCGUUUAUUGAUAAUCAUGGGUAACUAUCCGUCUAUAUACAUAGAUACCCGUUGAUAACAACUAUUUAGAAAUAUUAUAAAUAGCGUUACGACUGAAUCUCGUUCCUCAGUUCAGUUAUGAGCUAUAUUAGUGAUAGGUAACAUUAUAACCCAGUUAAUACAAUACCUAUACUCAGUUGCUACUUAUACAACCUGUGUAUUGUAAUAUAAUA